Molecule: long non-coding RNA, 261 nt
Filed under: Brassica napus (rape)
Lineage: Eukaryota; Viridiplantae; Streptophyta; Magnoliopsida; Brassicales; Brassicaceae
Description: long non-coding RNA (BNAP_LNC015805)
Source: RNAcentral
GAGCUUGUUGUUUGAGACUUCCGGUACCCGUAAUUUAACCAACGUUAAAUCACGGUAUUAAACGUUUAAAAAAUACACUGACCAAUCAGAAAAUUGGAAUCAAGACUUCCAUUAAUGAUUGAUUCGUAAGAGGUUAACGAUAGAAAACUAUCAUCAUUUUUCAGGGAUGAACUGGUCACUACGGAGCUGCCUAUGAUGGAAAGCUUGUAUUUGUGACUCGUCGCUCUAUACUUUCCGGUUGCUGGGGUUAAAGCGAAAUUC